GACGAACGCUGGCGGCGUGCUUAACACAUGCAAGUCGAACGGUGAAAGCGGAGCUUGCUCCGCUGGAUCAGUGGCGAACGGGUGAGUAACACGUGGGCAACCUGCCCCUCACUUCGGGAUAACUCCGGGAAACUGGGGCUAAUACCGGAUAUGACCUCCUUGGGCAUCCUUGGCGGUGGAAAGUUUUUCGGUGAGGGAUGGGCCCGCGGCCUAUCAGCUUGUUGGUGAGGUAGUGGCUCACCAAGGCGACGACGGGUAGCCGGCCUGAGAGGGCGACCGGCCACACUGGGACUGAGACACGGCCCAGACUCCUACGGGAGGCAGCAGUGGGGAAUAUUGCGCAAUGGGCGAAAGCCUGACGCAGCAACGCCGCGUGCGGGAUGACGGCCUUCGGGUUGUAAACCGCUUUCAGCAGGGAAGAAGCCGCAAGGUGACGGUACCUGCAGAAGAAGCACCGGCUAACUACGUGCCAGCAGCCGCGGUAA
Molecule: ribosomal RNA, 485 nt
Filed under: uncultured bacterium
Lineage: Bacteria
Description: partial 16S ribosomal RNA
Rfam family: Bacterial small subunit ribosomal RNA
Source: RNAcentral